RNAcentral lists this ribosomal RNA (483 nucleotides) under uncultured bacterium. Its description in RNAcentral is "partial 16S ribosomal RNA". It matches the Rfam family "Bacterial small subunit ribosomal RNA", at positions 30 to 506 of the family's 1533-position model. The record is from RNAcentral.
AUUGAACGCUGGCGGCAGGCCUAACACAUGCAAGUCGAGCGGAUGAAGGGAGCUUGCUCCUGGAUUCAGCGGCGGACGGGUGAGUAAUGCCUAGGAAUCUGCCUGGUAGUGGGGGAUAACGUCCGGAAACGGGCGCUAAUACCGCAUACGUCCUGAGGGAGAAAGUGGGGGAUCUUCGGACCUCACGCUAUCAGAUGAGCCUAGGUCGGAUUAGCUAGUUGGUGGGGUAAAGGCCUACCAAGGCGACGAUCCGUAACUGGUCUGAGAGGAUGAUCAGUCACACUGGAACUGAGACACGGUCCAGACUCCUACGGGAGGCAGCAGUGGGGAAUAUUGGACAAUGGGCGAAAGCCUGAUCCAGCCAUGCCGCGUGUGUGAAGAAGGUCUGCGGAUUGUAAAGCACUUUAAGUUGGGAGGAAGGGCAGUAAGUUAAUACCUUGCUGUUUUGACGUUACCAACAGAAUAAGCACCGGCUAACUUCGU